GGCCGCGGGAAUUCGAUUCAGGCCUAACACAUGCAAGUCGAGGGGCAGCAGGGAUUUAGCUUGCUAAAUCCGCUGGCGACCGGCGCACGGGUGCGUAACGCGUAUCCAACUUUCCCGUUACUCAGGGAUAGCCUUCCGAAAGGGAGAUUAAUACCUGAUGGUGUUUGAAGUUCGCAUGUUCUUCAAACUAAAGAUUUAUCGGUAACGGAUAGGGAUGCGUGACAUUAGAUAGUAGGCGGGGUAACGGCCCCGCUAGUCUACGAUGUCUAGGGGUUCUGAGAGGAAGGUCCCCCACACUGGAACUGAGACACGGUCCAGACUCCUACGGGAGGCAGCAGUGAGGAAUAUUGGUCAAUGGUCGGAAGACUGAACCAGCCAAGUAGCGUGAAGGAUGAAGGUUCUAUGGAUUAAAAGUUCUUUAUACGGGAAUAAAGCCCGCUACGGUAGCGGUU
RNAcentral lists this ribosomal RNA (452 nucleotides) under uncultured bacterium. RNAcentral's name for it is "bacterial SSU rRNA". It matches the Rfam family "Bacterial small subunit ribosomal RNA", at positions 39 to 469 of the family's 1533-position model. The record is from RNAcentral.